UGGGGAAUCUUCCGCAAUGGACGAAAGUCUGACGGAGCAACGCCGCGUGAGUGAAGAAGGUUUUCGGAUCGUAAAACUCUGUCUUUUGGGGCGAACGUGAGUAUGGUGAACAAUCAUAGUCAGUGACGGUACCAAAGGAGGAAGCCACGGCUAACUACGUGCCAGCAGCCGCGGUAAUACGUAGGUGGCAAGCGUUGUCCGGAAUUAUUGGGCGUAAAGAGCGCGUAGGCGGGAUAGUCAGUCUGUUGUAAAGUGCGGGGCUCAACCCCGUGAUCGCAAUGGAAACAGCUAUUCUUGAGUGCAGGAGAGGAAAGUGGAAUUCCCAGUGUAGCGGUGAAAUGCGUAGAUAUUGGGAGGAACACCAGUGGCGAAGGCGACUUUCUGGACUGUGUCUGACGCUGAGGCGCGAAAGCCAGGGGAGCGAACGGGAUUAGAUACCCCGGUAGUCCUGGCCGUAAACGAUGGGUACUAGGUGUGGGAGGUAUCGACCCCUUCCGUGCCGGAGUUAACGCAAUAAGUACCCCGCCUGGGGAGUACGGUCGCAAGACUGAAACUUAAAUGAAUUGACGGGGUCAUAGCUGUUU
RNAcentral lists this ribosomal RNA (584 nucleotides) under uncultured bacterium. RNAcentral describes it as "partial 16S ribosomal RNA". It matches the Rfam family "Bacterial small subunit ribosomal RNA", at positions 355 to 935 of the family's 1533-position model. The record is from RNAcentral.